RNAcentral lists this ribosomal RNA (815 nucleotides) under Cimex hemipterus. RNAcentral's name for it is "SSU rRNA". It matches the Rfam family "Eukaryotic small subunit ribosomal RNA", at positions 517 to 1258 of the family's 1831-position model. The record is from RNAcentral. Lineage: Eukaryota; Metazoa; Arthropoda; Insecta; Hemiptera; Cimicidae.
AGUACACUCUAAAUCCUUUAACAAAAAUCUAUUGGAGGGCAAGUCUGGUGCCAGCAGCCGCGGUAAUUCCAGCUCCAAUAGCGUAUAUUAAAGUUGUUGCGGUUAAAAAGCUCGUAGUUGGUUCUGCGUCCCGCGCUGUCGGUACACCGUUUGUCGGUGACACUGGCAUGACGCGGGAUGUCCUGUCGGUGGCGGCGGAGACCAUAUCGUCGUCGGAUAACACCGCGGCGUGUUGGCCUUCUGUCGCCGGCUAUAUCCUACCGCGGUGCUCUUCACUGAGUGUCGAGGUAGGCCGACACGUUUACUUUGAACAAAUUAGAGUGCUUAAAGCAGGCAAAAAUCUCUGCCAGAAUAGUGGUGCAUGGAAUAAUGGAACAGGACCUUGGUUCUAUUCUGUUGGUCUCCGGAACACAAGGUAAUGAUCAAUGUGGACAGGCGGGGGCAUUCGUAUUGCGGCGUUAGAGGUGAAAUUCUUGGAUCGUCGCAAGACGCACUAGAGCGAAAGCAAUUGCCAAGUAUGUCUUAAUUGAUCAAGAACGAAAGUUAGAGGUUCGAAGGCGAUCAGAUACCGCCCUAGUUCUAACCAUAAACGAUGCCAGCCAGCGAUCCGCCGAUGUUCCUUUGAUGACUCGGCGGGGAGCUUUCCCCGGGAAACCAAAGCUUUUGGGUUCCGGGGGAAGUAUGGUUGCAAAGCUGAAACUUAAAGGAAUUGACGGAAGGGCACCACCAGAAGUGGAGCCUGCGGCUUAAUUUGACUCAACACGGGAAACCUCACCAGGUCAGGACAUUGGAAUGAUUGACAGAUUGAUAGCUCU